This 496-nucleotide ribosomal RNA is filed under the name uncultured bacterium. RNAcentral's name for it is "partial 16S ribosomal RNA". It matches the Rfam family "Bacterial small subunit ribosomal RNA", at positions 29 to 507 of the family's 1533-position model. The record is from RNAcentral.
AUUAACGCUGGCGGCGUGCCUAAUACCUGCAAGUCGAGCGAACGGACGAGAAGCUUGCUUCUCUGAUGUUAGCGGCGGACGGGUGAGUAACACGUGGAUAACCUACCUAUAAGACUGGGAUAACUUCGGGAAACCGGAGCUAAUACCGGAUAAUAUUUUGAACCGCAUGGUUCCAAAGUGAAAGACGGUCUUGCUGUCACUUAUAGAUGGAUCCGCGCUGCAUUAGCUAGUUGGUAAGGUAACGGCUUACCAAGGCAACGAUGCAUAGCCGACCUGAGAGGGUGAUCGGCCACACUGGAACUGAGACACGGUCCAGACUCCUACGGGAGGCAGCAGUAGGGAAUCUUCCGCAAUGGGCGAAAGCCUGACGGAGCAACGCCGCGUGAGUGAUGAAGGUCUUCGGAUCGUAAAACUCUGUUAUUAGGGAAGAACAUAUGUGUAAGUAACUGUGCACAUCUUGACGGUACCUAAUCAGAAAGCCACGGCUAACUACGUG